This 1234-nucleotide ribosomal RNA is filed under the name metagenome. Its description in RNAcentral is "bacterial LSU rRNA". It matches the Rfam family "Bacterial large subunit ribosomal RNA", at positions 1564 to 2808 of the family's 2925-position model. The record is from RNAcentral.
UGAUGACGAGACGCUAAGGCGUUGAAGCAGUGUAUGUCAGACUUCCAAGAAAAGCUCGCAAUGUCAUAAAUAGAAAAUGCCUGUACCAUAACCGACACAGGUGGGUAGGUAGAGUAUACUAAGGGGCGCGAGAUAACUCUCUCUAAGGAACUCGGCAAAAUGACUCCGUAACUUCGGGAGAAGGAGUGCCUUAUUUAUAAGGUUGCAAUAACAAGAUCCAAGCAACUGUUUAUCAAAAACACAGGUCUCCGCUAAGUCGUAAGACGAUGUAUGGGGGCUGACGCCUGCCCAGUGCCAGAAGGUUGAAGAAGUUGGUUAGUGUAUGCGAAGCUGAUGACUGAAGCCCUGGUGAACGGCGGCCGUAACAAUAACGGUCCUAAGGUAGCGAAAUUCCUUGUCGGGUAAGUUCCGACCCGCACGAAAGGCGUAAUGAUUUGGAUACUGUCUCGGAGAGAGGCUCGGUGAAAUAGACUUGUCUGUGAAGAUGCGGACUACCUGCACCAGGACAGAAAGACCCUAUGAAGCUUUACUGUAACUUGAAAUUGGAAUUGGACUUUGCUUGCGCAGUAUAGGUGGGAAGCGUUGAAGAUAUUCUUGCGGGAGUAUUGGAGCUAUCAGUGAGAUACCACUCUUGUAAUGUUAGAUUUCUAACUUUGAACCAUAAUCUGGUCAAAGAACAGUUUCAGGUGGGCAGUUUGACUGGGGCGGUCGCCUCCCAAAUGGUAACGGAGGCGUACAAAGGUUUCCUCUGAACGGAUAGAAAUCGUAUCUAGAGUGUAAAGGCAUAAGGAAGCUUGACUGUGAGACCUACAAGUCGAGCAGGGACGAAAGUCGGUCUUAGUGAUCUGACGGUACUGAGUGGAAAGGCCGUCACUCAACGGAUAAAAGUUACUCUAGGAUAACAGGCUGAUCUCCCCCAAGAGUUCACAUCGACGGGGAGGUUUGGCACCUCGAUGUCGGCUCAUCGCAUCCUGGGGCGGUAGUACGUCCCAAGGGUUGGGCUGUUCGCCCAUGAAAGCGGUACGCGAGCUGGGUUCAGAACGUCGUGAGACAGUUCGGUCCAUAUCCGGUGUAGGCGCUAGAAUAUUGAGAGGAGCCUUCUUUAGUACGAGAGGACCGAGAAGGACACACCGCUGGUGUACCAGUUAUCGUGCCAACGGUAAACGCUGGGUAGCUAUGUGUGGAGUGGAUAACCGCUGAAAGCAUCUAAGUGGGAAGCCCACCUCAAGAUGAG